Molecule: long non-coding RNA, 2728 nt
Organism: Numida meleagris (helmeted guineafowl)
Lineage: Eukaryota; Metazoa; Chordata; Aves; Galliformes; Numididae
Exons: 4
Source: RefSeq, a predicted model, not a curated record
CGGGAGCCGUGAAGCGCGGCGCGCGGCGGCGGGCGCGGAUGCCGCGGAAGGAAACGGCAACAUGAAUUCAUAGAUGAUGAGUAGGAUGCCAAAGCCAGAGAUGACAGUGCUCUUGAAGAAAUGCUGGGUAGAACAAAAAGAUCCAGCAGCUGUCUCAUCCUGACCUGUGGGUGACACUCUCAAAUUAGUCUAGCACUCAUCCUAGGCUGUCUGCUGCAAUAUUUUGUGAUGAGAACAAAAAAGAAAUGAGAUGGUCAAAUACAUAAGGUUAAAAUGUUUGAUCUGUCUUGCAAACAAGUUGCCUCCACAAAGACUGAAUUACUUUCUGCUACUCUGAUUGUUUUUACUGCAUUUUGUGUUCAUAUUGUUGAGAUGCCCCAAGGAAUCACUUCUUAUUGGUUCUUUCAUUCUGAGAAAUUAUAACUGAGGCAUGACAGUCCACUUAGGGACUUGGGAAGUGGAUUAAAUCACACCUGCACAGAGCCACGCAAUAGAAAGGCCUUGGUUAUAUUCAUCCAACAGCAGCAAAAGUGGUGGAAGGAACAGGCAGGGAGCAAGAAAAUCUUCAGUAGUAGGAGAUGUAUAGGAAUUACUUAAACCACUUGGCACUAAUAGCUCUUUGCAUUUUGAGCUGUGAUCAUAGCUGGAAGUAGGAGCUUGUAUUUCCUACCAGCUCUUCCAUCUCCAAAGUGAGUCUCUACCUUACCUCUAGCAGAAUGGCUGUAUGAAAAGUUAAUUUCUACUGUGUCAAUGAAAAUAUUAAUUGGGUUCGAUAUUAUGGUUUAUUGUUGCCUCUGCUUAGUAGAAAUACCUUCCCAUUUUUGUCAAUAAGGAGUAGCUCUGGAUGCUAUAGGAUGUGCUGAAGUCCUUGUUACACUUAGGCAGCGUGAUGUCAAAGGGGAGGAACAACAGCUGCUUCAGUUCCUUUAGUGCAAAUAUAGUCGUUUGCCCUAUGCUGUUUGGGAAAUGUAACCUAUGCUUGAAAUACUAUAUAAACAAUAUUAAAUACAUAUGUUUUUUAAUGGUUAGGAGUUGUGUAAGUGUAGUUGUGUGCUCAGUCAUGUAUAGUCCAGUGCUAAGCUGUGACCUGAAGCAGUGAUGGAGCACCUGGUGGGAAGGCAGGGCCAGCCCAGGGGAGCUCAGGUGUGUGCAAUGUACCUGAGAGACAGGAAGGGGUGGAGCCAGGAUCCACCCCUUCCCAGCCCUCAUUUAAGGGCUGGCAGUGGAGGUGAGGGUAUUGUGCUGGAGAUCCCUGUGUACCUGAGACCUUCUGAAGAAGAGGCCCGUCCUACCACACUCAUCUUUUGCCUUGGCUCGGGAAUGGCUUCAGACCUUAACAAAAGCAGAAAAUCAACAGGUCUUCUGAAAGAAGUUCCAUUCUCGUGAGAAUCUAAGGGAAAAUAUCCUUUUUGAGCGUUUAGUCACAUCAAAGGAAACAACCGCUUCAAUCUUCAUUUGCAUUGUGCAGGCAUUAGAUGUGGUCCAGUUACACUGAGCUCUGCUUGAGAAGGCAGAAGUGCCAGCACUCGUCAGGCUUUGACGAGAUGGAGAGAAAACUCAGCCAGGCAAAUAAUACAUCACUCUUCCAAGGCACUUUCCAUUUUUAAAAGGACAGAACAAUUUACUUUGUUUCUUGGGAGACUCUUUACAGCAAAAGCUCCUUGACAUCCAAUUCUAAGGAGGCAGGCUGAGCACUGAUCUCUUGGCCAUUAUGUUCCUGAAGUGAGGCUUAACUUGCAGCGAGCUCAGGACUGCUGCUGGACCGUGGCUUCGUUCCUAGCGCUCAGAGGCAGCAGAACCCUUCAGGGAGUUGUACACAGCUCUGUGGAAACCCCUCAGCCCAAGAGGAAAGCAGAAGGCUGAGCGGGACAACUGCUGUGCUUCUGCUGCAGGAGUUACCCAGCUGCCGCAGCAUCACGGUGCGUCACGCUGGGCUCCGGCUGAUGGGCUGGGGCAGCACCUGGCUGCUCUCAGUGGCAGUGGGCUUCCCCUGACCCUGCCUCGCAGUGCAUAGCACUUACAGACAUUUUCUUUCUGGUUGUGACUGGAAGCUGUAGAACGGUGUUAUCUUUCGCAUUCGAUGGCAGCAAUCUGGAGCUGUAGCAGUGCUGCUGUAUGAGUUAAGGAACAUAAACUGGUCUGUGGGCAUCGGGGUAGAGGCCAAGCAGGGAGAGGGCCACGUGCAGCUGUGUGCCAUCACCUUUGUGCCACUCCUUCCCACAGAAUGCAGCCCAUCACAGGCUCCUUCCUGCCCCAUCCCCAGCACUUGCUCACGCUUCUUAAAUCUCCUUGGUGAUGGUACUGUGGCUUGUCUGCAGAUCAGAAGUUCUCAGCAGGUGCGGAUCUUGCCUAGAAUUCUCUUUCUCCUCAAGCUUCGUGCUGUUAGCCCCAAAAUGUGCGAGAGGGCCUACACAGAUUUUUCAGCAGUAGCAAAGAGAUGGGGCAAUAACCCCUCGUGCAUCCUGCACGCCUCGCACGGCGCCUGCUGCUCCGCGGCGGGGCUGGAGCAGCGCUGCACACGUGUGACCGCGGGGCCGGGCUGCAGUGCCACGAGCCGCCCCGGCAGCUCGGGGCUGAGCACAGCAAUGGGAGCAGCGGGUGGAGAUGACCAAAGGGGCUGUGUUGUCACGGCCCCACUAAAAAGCCCACGACUCCUGAAAGCCUUGCACUAUUUGAGGUUUCGUUGGCUUCCUUCAUAAACUUUUCAGCUUUUAGUUUAAUUCGUCAA